This 497-nucleotide ribosomal RNA is filed under the name uncultured bacterium. RNAcentral describes it as "partial 16S ribosomal RNA". It matches the Rfam family "Bacterial small subunit ribosomal RNA", at positions 28 to 507 of the family's 1533-position model. The record is from RNAcentral.
GACGAACGCUGGCGGCGUGCCUAAUACAUGCAAGUAGAACGCUGAAGAGAGGAGCUUGCUCUUCUUGGAUGAGUUGCGAACGGGUGAGUAACGCGUAGGUAACCUGCCUUGUAGCGGGGGAUAACUAUUGGAAACGAUAGCUAAUACCGCAUAACAAUGGAUGACACAUGUCAUUUAUUUGAAAGGGGCAAUUGCUCCACUACAAGAUGGACCUGCGUUGUAUUAGCUAGUAGGUGAGGUAAUGGCUCACCUAGGCGACGAUACAUAGCCGACCUGAGAGGGUGAUCGGCCACACUGGGACUGAGACACGGCCCAGACUCCUACGGGAGGCAGCAGUAGGGAAUCUUCGGCAAUGGGGGCAACCCUGACCGAGCAACGCCGCGUGAGUGAAGAAGGUCUUCGGAUCGUAAAGCUCUGUUGUAAGUCAAGAACGGGUGUGAGAGUGGAAAGUUCACACUGUGACGGUAGCUUACCAGAAAGGGACGGCUAACUACGUG